AUGUACCCAGCUCCUCAGGUUUCCACUGCUGUGGUUGAGCCCUACAAUUCCAUCCUCACCACCCACACCACCCUGGAGCACUCUGAUUGUGCCUUCAUGGUAGACAAUGAGGCCAUCUAUGACAUCUGUCAUAGAAACCUCGACAUUGAGCGCCUAACCUACACUAACCUUAACUGCCUUAUUAGCCAGAUUGUGUCUUCCAUCACUGCUUCCCUCAGAUUUGAUGGGGCCCUGAAUGUUGAUCUGACAGAAUUCCAGACCAACCUGGUGCCCUAACCUCAUAUCCACUUCCCUCUGGCCACUUAUGCCCCAGUUAUCUCUGCUGAGAAAGCUGUUAUCAUGAGUAGCUUUCUGUAGCAGAGAUCACCAAUGCCUGCUUUGAGCCAUCCAACCAGAUGGUGAAAUGUGACCCUUGCCAUGGUAAAUACAUGGCUUGCUGCCUGCUGUACCGUGGUGAUGUGGUCCCCAAAGAUGUCAAUGCUGCCAUUGCUACCAUCAAGACCAAGUGUAGCAUCCAGUUUGUAGACUGGUGCCCCAAUGGCUUCAAGGUUGGCAUUAAUUACCAGCCUCCCACUGUGGUACCUGGUGGUGACCUGGCCAAGGUCCAGAAAGCUAUGUGCAUGCUGAGCAACACCACAGCCAUUUCUGAGACCUGGGCUCACCUAGAUCACAAGUUUGAUCUGAUGUAUGCCAAGCGUGCCUUUGUGCACUGGUAUGUGGGUAAGGACAUGGAGGAGGGGGAGUUCUCUGAGGCCUGUGAGGACAUGGCUGCCCUGGAGAAGGAUUAUGAGGAGGUCAGUGUGGAUUCAGUGGAAGGUGAGGGUGAAGAAGAAGGAGAGGAAUACUAAGUCCAUUCCUCUAGCUCCUGUGUCAUGUCAAACUCCAGCUCCAGCAUUAGCUACAGGCAUUGAUGCUUCUGUGUUGUUUCCAUUCUGUGAUCAUGUCUUCUCCAUGUGUACCUCUUACAUUUUCCAUGAUGUCUCAAAGUAAAAGCUUUAAGAAAAGAAAAAAA
Mastomys coucha (southern multimammate mouse) is the source of this 1012-nucleotide RNA transcript. It is a transcript of the gene named tubulin alpha-1B chain-like, with no coding region annotated. NCBI's taxonomy places the organism in Eukaryota, Metazoa, Chordata, Mammalia, Rodentia, Muridae. The record is from RefSeq and is a predicted model, not a curated record. The transcript has a single exon.